GAGAAGAUAUCCUGUGAUCUGUGGUUUCUGACAUUGACGAUUGGAGCUAUAGGUAUAGAUUGCGACGCACUUCAAUGUGGGCUUGGCGCUCCUAUGUAACUUGUGGUUGUACUCCUACUGCCUAAUUCUUUUCUGUUGCCCCUAUGCAUAUAUGUAACUCUCCUUGGCAUGUAGUCGAGAACUCGACAAGCAAUUUAAAUUCAAACUAGGUGGGGAAGCUCUCCAGCGAAUUGUUUGAAAAAAUAGUACACGAAUCAAAAACAUGAGCAAAAUAAGAAUUAGUGGGUGAAAAUAAUUCAGCUAUAUCAUUUGGACGACACAGGCUGUUCAGCUAUAUCUAUUGUUAGGAAAAAGAGAGAGAUGAAGCCUACCUGGUAUUGUCUAAUCUGCCAAUAUUGGAAAUAUCCUACCC
This 412-nucleotide long non-coding RNA is filed under the name Setaria viridis. RNAcentral describes it as "long non-coding RNA (SVIR_LNC001556)". The record is from RNAcentral. Lineage: Eukaryota; Viridiplantae; Streptophyta; Magnoliopsida; Poales; Poaceae.